UACGUAGGGUGCGAGCGUUAAUCGGAAUUACUGGGCGUAAGCGUGCGCAGGCGGCUUUGCAAGACAGAUGUGAAAUCCCCGGGCUCAACCUGGGAACUGCAUUUGUGACUGCAAGGCUAGAGUACGGCAGAGGGGGAUGGAAUUCCGCGUGUAGCAGUGAAAUGCGUAGAUAUGCGGAGGAACACCAAUGGCGAAGGCAAUCCCCUGGGCCUGUACUGACGCUCAUGCACGAAAGCGUGGGGAGCAAACAGG
RNAcentral lists this ribosomal RNA (252 nucleotides) under uncultured bacterium. Its description in RNAcentral is "partial 16S ribosomal RNA". It matches the Rfam family "Bacterial small subunit ribosomal RNA", at positions 524 to 776 of the family's 1533-position model. The record is from RNAcentral.